GUAUUCCCCGUCUCUGACGCCGAUUUUUUUUUUCCGAACGCAUGAAUUAAUCAUUCAUUAUUAUAGAAGCCUUUCUAUGUAGUAUACUAUUCAGCGUGCCUUAUUCCACAUAAGAUAGGUAUUAAGGAUUCAUUUCGAUGAAAAAGUCUUGUGUGUAUUUACAUAUUUGUAAAUGUUGAGUACCUAUGCUUGAUCGGGUUGAAUAAUCUGGUAAAUAUGGGAUGAAGCGGAAUAUUUUCCAAAGGACAUGUGGGUUUAUUUACACGCGUAAUUUUCCAACAAUAAGUUAUUUUUCUUUGCACAAUAAGGUCUCAUUUGCUUCGUAAACAUCAUUUAAAAUUCACCGCGCUCGAUUUAUCUAAUGACUUGUAUCUAUAUAUCUACCUACGUGAGAAAUUGGUGCAUUCUUUUGUUUUAAUUGUUAAACAUGCGGUAAUAUUUUUAUUUCAAAUGUUUAAAUGCGUAUUUUUCAAGGAUAUCUAUAAUCACUAAUAAGGUAUAUUGCCAUUAUCUUCUUUGAGAAUAAAUUCUCUGGCGAAAAUCAAUGACUUAUACAUGAAUAACUCUCGAUCAGCAAGGUCUAUCACUUUUGGAUUUACGGGGAAAAUAGCUUGAUCCGAUGUAUUCAUGGAAUUCCUUAGUCGUAUAACAUUGCUAUUGUCGAAUCGCCAAGCUCGACUGGAAAAAUAUGUUAGAAGGUUGCAUCCUAAUGCGAUUUUUCUUUGAACGCGAACCAAGCUGGAAAAAAUGUUUAUUUUUGUUGAGGCUUCAGAUGGAGAAAUUAGUACCUACAUAGAGGUUUAUAUUUAUUCAUGGUGACACUCGGAUACCAUAGAAUUAUGCUGAGUGGACAUUUUAGAUACACGUUGUAGCUAAAUUUCAUCAACUCGCCCCAUGUUGGUAUUUCAUCUCUGGAUAGGCAAAUAUUGUACACUGGAAGACUAUCCUGUCUGUCACACGGAAUAUAUGCAUUUGUUAGCAACUUCCCAAGCUAACGCGACCAAACCAUUGCAUACGUUAUCGACAGGAAUUAAAUCAGCAGGAUAGUCUGGAACUGCAUAAAUACUUCUUAGAACACCUUUUCCUACUGCGAUCAUUAUUCCAACAACGCCAUUCAUGUUAUCGACGAAGCCGGGAAACGGUUCUUUGUGACUGGAAAUUACUACAUAAAACAAAACAAACCAUCAAUCAAAAAAUGGAGAAACAGACUCCAGUUGUGCCUAAAACGGAAUAUGGAGUCGGAUAAGGUUGUUAAGCUCGUUCAAGAACUGUACUUCCGAUGCAUACAGAUGAUCCUACCUACGUUUACCUACCUUUAAAAAGAACAGAUUUCAAGCUGUGGUCAAAUGUUUGAGUUCUUGAAUUUCGCAUUAUAAAAAAAUUGGUCGUCAAAAUAAAAUCAUAUAUUCAUCAUCGGUGAGUUGCUUUUGCAAUUGAUGUAACAUUAAGUAUAGUAGAAAAUUUUCCAUCGUAAAUCCAUCUUUUCAUUGGCCAUAGAUGAUAGAAUAAUUUUUUCAAAUACUUUUCGACAUUUUUCAACAAAAUUUAUGAAUAGUGAAAAUUCCAGAUUUUAGUGAUUAAAAAAUGGAAUUUGAUUGGCACUUGAAUUGAAUAUUUCAGUUGAAGUUUAAGAUAGACACUGCAUUAUUUUGACUUCUCGGUGGUCUAUCAAGAGAUCACAAAAAAAGGAGUAGAAAAUGUUCACCAUAUAGCUUUUUGUUUAAAUAGAAAAGUUCAUAUUAUCAGGUUGAUCUAAGAAGAGUAAAAAAACCAACCAAUUCUUCCAAGAAAUAUUUGAAAAUGUGUUUUUAUAAAAAUAGGUAUAUUUAUUUUACAGCUGCAACAAAAAAUCUCGUUCUAUGAAAUAAUAUUAAAUCACGUUCACGUAAAAAAAUAAACAAACGAAUAAAAAUCAAUAAUCUUACUCAUUAUAAAUUCUACAAUCGUAAAAUGAUCAAGCCCUUGAGAAAAAAUGAAAAAAAUAACUUAGUCUAAGUAUUAAUGUUGAGUUUGAAAGAUUAAGAAAAAAUGCAGAAAAUUUCUUUACACAGAAAUUUGAAAUUGACUAAAACUAAAAGCAAUUCCCACAUUUCCACCAUCUAGAAAAAAAUUCUUCAAUUCAUCUCUGAGUAUAAUAAUGGCAUUCGAUUCGAGUAAUCUGGGCGUAUUUUUGAUCUCUACGAGGCCUAUUUAGUAUUACACGAUCAAGAAUUCUAAACACACAAAAACAGAUUGUGAUUAAAAAAUAAUUACGAUUGUUCAUUGAUGUUUAUCGAUCAAAACAGCGUGAUACUUACAAAGUGCAAGUUGACCCCCACGAUCUGUAACAGGUCUACAGGUAUCGUAUCUUCGGCCGAAAUUCAAAUUUGAUAUCGAAUUCAAACACUUAUCUUUUCCGUGAAAAUGAAUCCUAGCAUAAUCA
This is a long non-coding RNA of Planococcus citri (citrus mealybug), 2422 nucleotides long. RefSeq lists it as uncharacterized. The transcript has 5 exons. The record is from RefSeq and is a predicted model, not a curated record. NCBI's taxonomy places the organism in Eukaryota, Metazoa, Arthropoda, Insecta, Hemiptera, Pseudococcidae.